Molecule: ribosomal RNA, 511 nt
Filed under: uncultured bacterium
Lineage: Bacteria
Description: bacterial SSU rRNA
Rfam family: Bacterial small subunit ribosomal RNA
Source: RNAcentral
GAGAGUUGAUCAUGGCGUCAGGAUGAACGCUGGCGGCGUGCUUAACACGAUGCAAGUCGAACGAAGCAACUUAUUACGAGUCCCUCGGGGUGACGAUUGUUGACUGAGUGGCGGACGGGUGAGUAACGCGUGGGUAACCUGCCUUGUACAGGGGGACAACAGUUGGAAACGACUGCUAAUACCGCAUAAGCGCACAGCUUCGCAUGAAGCAGUGUGAAAAGUUUUUCGGACAAGAUGGACCCGCGUCUGAUUAGCUAGUUGGUGAGGUAACGGCCCACCAAGGCGACGAUCAGUAGCCGACCUGAGAGGGUGACCGGCCACAUUGGGACUGAGACACGGCCCAAACUCCUACGGGAGGCAGCAGUGGGGAAUAUUGCACAAUGGGCGAAAGCCUGAUGCAGCCGACGCCGCGUGAGCGAAGAAGUAUUUCGGUAUGUAAAGCUCUAUCAGCAGGGAAGAUAAUGACGGUACCUGACUAAGAAGCACCGGCUAAAUACGUGCCAGCCGCUGC